This 73-nucleotide transfer RNA is filed under the name Iotrochota birotulata (green finger sponge). Its description in RNAcentral is "tRNA-Thr". It matches the Rfam family "tRNA". From Rfam's summary of the family: Transfer RNA (tRNA) molecules are approximately 80 nucleotides in length. Their secondary structure includes four short double-helical elements and three loops (D, anti-codon, and T loops). Further hydrogen bonds mediate the characteristic L-shaped molecular structure. tRNAs have two regions of fundamental functional importance: the anti-codon, which is responsible for specific mRNA codon recognition, and the 3' end, to which the tRNAs corresponding amino acid is attached (by aminoacyl-tRNA synthetases). tRNAs cope with the degeneracy of the genetic code in two manners: having more than one tRNA (with a specific anti-codon) for a particular amino acid; and 'wobble' base-pairing, i.e. permitting non-standard base-pairing at the 3rd anti-codon position. Lineage: Eukaryota; Metazoa; Porifera; Demospongiae; Poecilosclerida; Iotrochotidae. The record is from RNAcentral.
GUCUUUGUAGCUUAAGGGAUAAAGCGUUUAUUUUGUAAGUAAAAUAGUAUAGGUUCAAGUCCUAUCAAAGGCU